Brassica rapa (field mustard) is the source of this 3904-nucleotide long non-coding RNA. RefSeq lists it as uncharacterized. NCBI's taxonomy places the organism in Eukaryota, Viridiplantae, Streptophyta, Magnoliopsida, Brassicales, Brassicaceae. The record is from RefSeq and is a predicted model, not a curated record.
UGCAGAUCGUUGGUGAUUCAUCUCGCAUGGGAUCUCAAGAAAAUUUGUGACAAUAGUUUCUCUUCCCUCUCGUCCGAUACAACAGAUUCAUCUCGCAUGUGAUCUCAAGAAACUUUGUACGCAUCAUCAACAAGGUGACACCAACUCUUAUGAAAAGUAAUCAAAAUGAUGCCUUUCUUAUUCUCCACCAUUUUUUUUCCUAUGUUUCUUUUGCCUACGUUGAUGUUUAAUUUUUGAUCCCUGAAGUUAAUCACGACAGCAUCUUACCGAACAUGGCGCUUGUCGCGUGGAGCAUACUUAAGUCUCCACGCAUACUUAAGUUUAUAUAUGUUGCUAUAUCAUAAUAUCGUGUCAAAACUCAAAACUAAAACUCUCAAAUCAAGAGUGUAAAUCAAAAGUGACUAAACACAUCAGUCAGAAAUCAAAACUAUUUGUAAUACAGCUCAUAGGAAAUAUUCCUAGAUCAGUUGGAUCAACAAGCGUACUAAAGUUAGCUUCUUUUUUUUUAAUAUUCAUCUUUUUUAUUAAAUAUUAAAAGUCAGUUACAAACUAUGGCCAUUGUCCUGUAGUUUCAACAAGCUAUUACGAAAGUAAGGAAUAUAAUGAACCAGAAACAAUCGGAUCAUUCACUUUGAUUUAUUUUAGAGGUAAAAAAUAGUUCUUAAUUAUAAUUGCUUCCCCCUUUGGUUCCUACUUUUAGGGUUCCUCGUCCACAACCCGUGGAUUGCAAGUGCAUCUCCCUAGCUUUUACUGGUCUUUCUCAAAUGAUUUUCUUUCCAUAAUGUGUCAUAACAUCCAUCGAAGUAUUUAUAUGUACAUGACAGCGUUGGGGCAGACACCAUAAUCAGAGUUUUAAAUUUAAUAGAUUUAUUGAUAUAUAUAUACAGGAGACGUUUACAUGUUCUCAAAUACUGAAAUAGUAGUUAAGGAAACCAGAUCAUUUACAUCUGCAUAAUUAACUAUGUGGACUUCAUUUGAUUUAUUACAUACAUCAAGAUGGGUGCUUGAAGGUUUGCUAGGAAGUAGGAAUUUUUUUUGUCUCAGUAGCCGCGACCACAAUGCUACCAUUGGAGGGAUUUUCAGAGAGGUCAGUGGUAACUAUAAAAGAUUCACUGGCAGAUUGCAAGCAGUGUUUAAAUUUGUGUUUAAGCUGACCACAUCUUUCACAUUUAGAAGGCAACAAAGCAUAUUCAACAUCAACGAUAGACAUAAAGUUCGUUUUCAUCAUCUGCAACGGUUCUUAAAAUAAACCUUCACUCAAUUCAAUCUCAACCAAAGUCUUAGCUUCGCCAAUUAGAUGAAGUCUUAUCUGGUUUUAUGAGUUGACAUAUGAGCAGCUAGACCCAAAGCUAUUUGACUUAUUCUAGGGAUAGAAUAUAAAUUGUUUGAAAUCUUCUUUAGAGUUACCCAUACCAGAAUGAUUUUAGAAUCAAAAAUCGCUAAGGAAGUUACUGGUGUCCAAGAUGCGACACACAUCAUCAGACAGUUAGCAACAUGCCGCCAUCCCCUUUAAAGAAUCCAAGUUCUAGUAAAUGUGUCCAGAAUAUGGAAAAGAUAGUUUUGAUUCCCAAGUUUCCUAAUUGUUGUCUUGUAAUUCUUUCCUCACAACUUGUUGAAGACCCCAUAAAUCAGAGCACCAAAAAUGAGAGAACAUCUAUAAAACUUUGUUUUUGGUUCUCUAAUCCUUGCAACAAAUUUAAACAUAGACAUGUCUUGGGGGUUGUUACCUUAGGAAUUAUAUUGUUAAAUUACUAAUGUAAUCUUGCUAAAUGUUAUUAAUUUUAUUUUGCUUCUUAGGGUUCUCAUUCAUGAAUUUAAAGAAUUGUGUUUUAUAUCAAAGAUCUUUUUACUAUCUCUCAUAACGGUGGUUUUAUUUCCAGAACCUCAUCUUCUUUAUAUUGAUUUGUAUUUUUGCAAGUAAGAAAAUGACAAACGAAAAAGACUGCUGUCAACUAAUCAUUUAAAUUUUGGAUUAGCAAAUGCAAUGGAAAACCAUCAUAUUUUCAGUGUUGCUCUUAGUCUGUCGUACGAGAUCAUGUAUCUUUCAACGAAACAAGAACAAAGUUUCUUUAACAUGUACGAUAUUAUAUAAAUUAGUUCAUGAAGCAAACAACGAAAGGUUUAACAUAGAUAAACAAAAUCAACAUCUUGCUACUUUAUUAUUUUCUUUUAAAGCAUUACAAUGUUAUUGUAAAAGAUAUCGACUCUCCAGGGUUUCACCAACCUUUGUAAUGAUUUAAUUUUGCAAUUUUACGCACAUAUGGAUGUAAUCACCAGGAUGUUGUUUAGCUUGUCUCCAUAUCCUGUAAGCCGUUUGGGUAUGAACCGAAAACAAUUCUGAUACCUCUUUUGCGGCAUUCGUUUGCAGUUUUCCAUAUAAACUUCUUUCCCACAAAGCAUUGAAAAUUAAAUGUUUUUGAUGAGUAGUGACAUAUUUUCUCUUCCUUUUAACAUUGCCAUUGACAUUACCAGCUUCGACUGUUGCUGGAACAAAAUAGUUAACACACAAAUUAACAAAAGUACUUUCUACUCAAACAAUACAAUCCAUGAUUGUGUCCAUGUCUCUACGAGUGUUCCAUGCAACAAUCUCAACAAAAAAUGAAUAGGUGCAUACAAUAUUCCAAUAUGCAUGCUUUAUUUAUUAUUUUUAACAUAAUUGUUCAUAAGUUAUUUGUUAUAAAUGACACUAUUUACGUAAAUUUAUUUGUUAGAUUAGAAGAUAUUAGGUUACGGUACUGGAUUUGGAUUGAACAAACAUACAUAUAUAGAAUAUGAAAAUUGUCAUUAUGACAUAUUUCAUUACAUCUUCGAUUUAUUAAAUAAAUUGUUAUUUAAUUUACCUGGAUCUUCGACCAAGUGAUGGACAUUUUGUUCUAAUUCGUCAGUAUUAGGCUCUUCCAUGGGCGGGCUUGAGUUCAAGUCGAUGUCAAGGGGACGUUUCGAGGAUGAUGAAAUACUCGUCAUUGCAAUGUUAUUUAUAUCUAGAAAACUAUUUCUAUAUUGUUUGGAGUUAUAAUAUUGAAACCAACCCUGGACGAUUUACUCUUGAGAAUCCAUGUAGUAUUAUAUAUAUGAAGAUGAAAACUUUUGGCUCCCAUCUAUUUUUUCUAAGUAAAGAAUAUUUCAGAAAAAACAUUUAAAAUAUUUCCUAGACUGAGUUUUCCACAUUUAUUCCCAAAGACUAGACAUGAAAUUUUACCAGAAAAAAAAAGACUAAGACCUGAAACAUUUAUGACUAUAGUCAAUGAUAUAAACAACCAACCAUUUAAUUAAGGAAAUAUUUUUCGGUCAAUUUUUUCAUGACAGAUAUUACGUUCUUACUAAUAUUCGAGUCAAUUGGAAUAAUAGUUACUUAAUAGUUUUCUAAAAAAAAAGUUAGUUAAUAGAUUAAUAAAGGGAAAACAAAAGAAUGGAAUCAAUUGAUGAUUUUUGUUUUUGUAAUCUUGGUUCUUCUUCAACAUUAAGGAGUGAGAGACUUGUUGGAGUUCCGGAGAAACGCGUAGAGGCGUCGGCCGAGUCGCACCGGAGUGAUGUUAGAAGGAGGAUGGAGACGUGACCUGAACCGUGCCAGAUAACCACAACGGAAAAGUGGAGGAUGCAGCACGAGCUUAACGUCGGAGGAGGCAAGGCGUGGUCUCGCAGCGAUGGUGCAAGGCGUGGUCUCUGCAGCGGUGGUGCAAGGUGGUCUGGUGGCAGUCACGGUUGUGGUGGUGCGGCGGAGAGAACACGACCUUUAGGGUUGACGGCGAGGAAGACGAUGUAGGCAGCUUGAGAAGAUUAUUUUUUAGGUUUAGGGUUUUUAGAUUUGGUUUAGUAAUGUAAACCGAUUUUCAUUUGUAAACAGAUAUCUAUUUGUAAACCGAUUUCAAUUUAUAUAUAUAUAUAUAUAUUAUGUCAAAGAUUU